UACGUAGGGGGCAAGCGUUGUCCGGAUUUAUUGGGCGUAAAGCGCUCGCAGGUGGUUCGAUGCGUCGUGCGUGAAAGACCCCGGCUCAACUGGGGGGUGUCGUGCGAUACGGUCGGACUGGAGGCCAGUAGGGGGAUGCGGAAUUCCGGGUGUAGUGGUGGAAUGCGUAGAGAUCCGGAGGAACACCAGCGGCGAAGGCGGCGUCCUGGACUGGUCCUGACACUCAUGAGCGAAAGCGUGGGGAGCGAUCCGG
Molecule: ribosomal RNA, 253 nt
Filed under: uncultured bacterium
Lineage: Bacteria
Description: partial 16S ribosomal RNA
Rfam family: Bacterial small subunit ribosomal RNA
Source: RNAcentral